RNAcentral lists this long non-coding RNA (1527 nucleotides) under Sarcophilus harrisii (Tasmanian devil). Its description in RNAcentral is "lncRNA (ENSSHAG00000022699.1)". Lineage: Eukaryota; Metazoa; Chordata; Mammalia; Dasyuromorphia; Dasyuridae. The record is from RNAcentral.
UUUUGGUCAGGUAUACUUAUUGUGUAUCUUAUUUAUAUUUUAAUAUAUUUAACAUCUACUGGUCAUCCUGCCAUCUAGGGAGGGGUGGGGGUAAGAGGUGAAAAUUGGAACAAGAGGUAUGGCAAUUGUUAAUGCUGUAAAGUUACCAUGUAUAUAUCCUGUAAAUAAAAGGCUAUUAAAUUUAAAAAAAAAAAAAAAAAAAAAAAGAAUCAGGGAGCUGGAAAGUGAAAGGCUUUUCUAAUUUAGGUAGAGCUGGUCUUAAAAGCUUUGGCCUAAAUAGGGCCUUGAAUGGGGAUUAGGUUAUGGCUCAAAUAUUUGACAGAUUGGAAAGCAAUGUGGGCUUUGAAUAAGAAGACCCUGUAGUCCCUAGAGGCCAGAAAAUUAAGAGUUUUUAUGGCUGCAUUUAAGGAAGCCUCUUGGAUAGGGCUGCAGAUCAAAAUUUCCUCCACAUACUGCAUGAUACUGCUGUUAAGCAGUUCCAAAUCCCUUAUAUUUUUAGCCAGUACCUGUCUGAAUAUGUGUAGACUAUCUCAAAAGCCCUGGGGCAAAACUGCCCAAGUUAAUUAGUGGGGUAUGUUCCCCUGGCUUUGCCCAUUCAAAAGCAAAAAGAAAUUGUGAGUUUUUUUGCAAAGGUAUACAAAAAGAAGGCAUGGAGUGAAAAAUCACUUUGUGUCCCCUAGGUAAGGAUAGUAUAGGAAUUGGGCACAAUGAGGUGAAUAGGAAGGACUGCCUCAUUAAUUGCUCUGAGAUUCUGUGUCAUACCAAACUGCCCAUUUGGUUUUCCAACAGGGAGAAGUGGAGUAUUGCAGGGAGACUUGAAGGCAACUAAAAGUUUGUGCUUAAAAAAUUUCUCAGUCAGGGGUUGCAAUCCCUCCCUAGACUCUGGCUUUAAUUGGGUAUUGGUGUUUAUGGGGGAAUAUACUGGGGUGUAACUUCUAGGUUGCUAUUGAGGGUUACCACAGAAUAACCUGCCUUUCCCCAUUUUCAAGAAAACUAGACCCAUCUGUAAAUCAUUCACCAUCUGGGUUGUCAAGAGGAAUGUCCCUCAAGUCAGGUCUACUGGAAGAGUCAGAAUCUAAAGCUUCCUCUAUGGUCAAAAAGUUAUCAAACUGUGCAUACCCUUUGAUCCAGCAGUGUUACUACUGGGAUUAUAUCCCAAAGAGAUUAUAAAGAAGGGAAAGGGACCUGUAUGUGCACGAAUGUUUGUGGCAGCCCUUUUUGUAGUGGCUAGAAACUGGAAACUGAAUGGAUGUCCAUCAGUUGGAGAAUGGCUGAAUAAAUUGUGGUAUAUGAAAAUUAUGGAAUAUUACUGUUCUGUAAGAAAUGACCAACAGGAUGAUUUCAGAAAGGCCUGAGAGACUUACACGAACUGAUGCUGAGUGAAAUGAGCAGGACCAGGAGAUCAUUAUAUACUUCAACAACAAUACUAGAUGAUGACCAGUUCUGAUGGAUCAGGCCAUCCUCAGCAACGAGAUCAACCAAAUCAUUUCUAAUGGAGCAGUAAUGAACUGAACUAGCUAUACCCAG